This 383-nucleotide long non-coding RNA is filed under the name Linum usitatissimum (flax). Its description in RNAcentral is "long non-coding RNA (LUSI_LNC006135)". The record is from RNAcentral. Lineage: Eukaryota; Viridiplantae; Streptophyta; Magnoliopsida; Malpighiales; Linaceae.
GCAGUAGGCCACGAGCAUGUUAGACAGGAACUAGAAGGAGUUUCCAGGCAGCAGAAGAAAAAGUAAAUGCGAAGUAAAUUUAGUGAAAGACUCGUACAGUUUAAUGGAAAUACUUGGAACGAGUUCAAAUUGAAAUGCGGAAAUAACCAAGAUUAGACAAAAUCAUACAAGAUUCGUUUUUAGAAAGGAGAAACAAGGGAAAAGCAACAAUAACGACGGAAAUAAGUCAGGAAAAGGAUAGAAAUAAGUCGUGAGGUGUAGUAGGGCACGAGCAUGGUAGACAGGAAACCGAAGGAGUUUCCAGGCAGCGGAACAAGAAGUCAAUGCGAAGGAUAUUUAGUGAAAGACUCAUAAACUUAAGGGGAAAACAUGGAAUAAGUUCC